This 602-nucleotide ribosomal RNA is filed under the name Fusarium culmorum. RNAcentral describes it as "eukaryotic LSU rRNA". It matches the Rfam family "Eukaryotic large subunit ribosomal RNA", at positions 1 to 614 of the family's 3401-position model. The record is from RNAcentral. Lineage: Eukaryota; Fungi; Ascomycota; Sordariomycetes; Hypocreales; Nectriaceae.
UGACCUCGGAUCAUGUAGGAAUACCCGCUGAACUUAAGCAUAUCAAUAAGCGGAGGAAAAGAAACCAACAGGGAUUGCCCUAGUAACGGCGAGUGAAGCGGCAACAGCUCAAAUUUGAAAUCUGGCUUUCGGGCCCGAGUUGUAAUUUGUAGAGGAUGAUUUUGAUGCUGUGCCUUCCUAGUUCCCUGGAACGGGACGCCAUAGAGGGUGAGAGCCCCGUCUGGUUGGAUGCCGAAUCUCUGUAAAUCUCCUUCGACGAGUCGAGUAGUUUGGGAAUGCUGCUCUAAAUGGGAGGUAUAUGUCUUCUAAAGCUAAAUACCGGCCAGAGACCGAUAGCGCACAAGUAGAGUGAUCGAAAGAUGAAAAGCACUUUGAAAAGAGAGUUAAAAAGUACGUGAAAUUGUUGAAAGGGAAGCGUUUAUGACCAGACUUGGGCUUGGUUAAUCAUCUGGGGUUCUCUCCAGUGCACUUUUCCAGCCCAGGCCAGCAUCAGUUUUCGCCGGGGGAUAAAGACUUCGGGAAUGUGGCUCCCCUCGGGGAGUGUUAUAGCCCGUUGUGUAAUACCCUGGUGCGGACUGAGGUUCGCGCUUCUGCAAUUGGAA